RNAcentral lists this long non-coding RNA (6688 nucleotides) under Sus scrofa (pig). Its description in RNAcentral is "lncRNA (ENSSSCG00030006862.1)". Lineage: Eukaryota; Metazoa; Chordata; Mammalia; Artiodactyla; Suidae. The record is from RNAcentral.
CUUUUUUUUUUUUUCAUUUUUUUUUCAUUUGCUUUUUAAAUUGCAGUAAUUAUAAUUUUAUUUCUAGAAGUUGUAUUUGAUUCCUUUUAAAAUCUGCCUGGUCAUAUAUUGAUAGCUUUUUUUUUCUUAUUCAUAUCUUCAAUUCUGCUUUUUACAUAAACUUUUCAUAUUUAGUUACUUUAUUUUCUGCACCUCUUUAUGCUAAUAUCUGAAAUCCUUACAAGAGUCCUCAUUUGUUGUUUUUAUUCCUUGUGCAUAUUUGAUUUUUUAUUCAGUCAACUCAUAUUUGACUGAAUUUAUCUUUUAAGAAAUUCUAAGUGGUUUAGAUUAAAAGAUAAGUUCUUGAAGAAAAUACUUCUGGUUUUUUUUUUUUUUUUUUUGCUGGGAGUUGGGAGGUGCUAACAAUCUGUUAUCAUUUUAAUGUCUUGUCCCUGGCCAUGAGGAAUGUAUAUAUUUUAACCCCAGACCCAUGUGAUAAUAGGUAGUACAUACUAUUAUUCUUACUGUUUUCCUCUUGAAGUUAUGGCAAUGAUAAAUAGGCCUUCUUAUGCACUUACAUUACUGCAAGGGAUUUUCUCCAGUCUCACAUUCCAGUUGUGUUCAGUGAUUAGCAUCUCACAAUUUGCUUCCCAAUUUGUAUGGGCCUUAGGACCUACUUUUUUUUUUUUUUUUUGCCUUUCUUAGGGCUGCACCUGCACCAUAUGGAAGUUCCCAGACUAGGGUUUGAAUCAGAGUUGCAGCUGCCAGCCUAUGCCACAGCCACAGCAACUCGGGAUCCAAGCCACAUCUGUGACCUAUGCCAUAGCUUGCAUCAACACCAGAACCCUAACCCAUUCAAUGAGGCCAGGGAUUGAAGCUGCAUCCUCAUGGAUUCUAGUUGGGUUUGUUAAGAAUCCCACUAGUAUCUAUGAGGAUGCAGGUUCAGUCCCUGGCCUUGCUCAGUGGGCUAAAGAUCCAGCAUUGCCAUGAGCUGUGGUGUAGAAUGCAGAUGUGCCUAGGAUCUGGUGUUGCUGUGGCUGCGGUGUAUGCCAGUAGCAGCAGCUCCGAUUCCACCCCUAGCCUGGGAACUCCCAUAUGCUGCAGGUAUGGCCCUAAAAAGGAAAAGAAAAAGAAAAAGAAAAAAAUCCUCAAGAUUCUUACUAAGUGUAAAAUCCCUAGUGAUUUGAAAGUUGUGAAGAUAACAAAAAUGAUGGUAAGCAAAAUUUACUGUGUAUCGAACUAUUUGCCAGGCACUGUAUAUAUGUUGCCUCAUUUACCCUAGGAAUUAGGUAAUAUUAUCUCUAAGCUACAGGUAAAAAACCUGAGAUUUUGAGAAGGCAAAUAAUAGGGUUUGUCUGAUAAUAAAUUUUUGUGUGCUUUUUUUCCCCCACUAAGCUGGAUUGCCUUUCUAUCCAAGAUCUGCAAUCAUAGAAGAUGGAAACACUUGAAAAAUGUUAUCAGCUAUACUUUGCUUUCAGGUGGCAGACUGAUCAGAGAUCAACUUGGAAGUACAGUAUCUUCAUUUCUUAAAAGUGUAUCAAAUUUGAUCAACAUCUGGCAAUCUCUUCAAAACAUCAUGGAUCAAAGAAAUAGACAAAAAUCGGAAGCCUUAAACACUCAAGGUAAGAAAGAGCUGUUUCCCAGUCAUUCAAGAAUAUUAGGUAAGUUCCAGAAGCAAUAUAUUUGUUUGUUUUGUGUUUCUUUAUUCACUACCAUCUAUCAAAAAGAAUUUAGGAUAGCUGACAAAGAUGUAUAAAAUCCAACAUAUAAAUUAGAAAUAGGUAAGGGGGUAAGAAACAAGAAGAAACAAAAAGGAAAAACAAAGGAAUGAGACUAAAAUUAAAAGGUAUACCAUUGAGCCGCUUCUGAGGCAGGUGGCAAAUUUGACCCUAAACUUUCUAAGGUCAACUUUAAAAGGGCUGCUUGAGUAGUUAUGAGUCACCAUGUGUAAAUAAUAAAAAAACAAUCCAACUGCUAAGAAGCACAACUAUGACUGAUUUCCAUCAAAAGGAUCAAAAGUUACUCAAAAAACUUCAUAGAAAGGGCAUUGUAUAAUGAAAAGAACAACACUGAGAUCAUAUAACUGCAGUAUUUCUUGAGCGUGAAAGGGGAACUAUUAAAUAUUAUGCUGGGACAAUAAGUGUAAACUGGAACUCUCCCCACAAAAUCAAAAUGUACACUCAUCCCACUUACAGUAAUCACCACUACAUGGUUUUUAAAAAAUUUUUAUUGGAAUGUAGUUGACUUACCAUGUUGUAUUCAUUUCAGGUGUACACCAGAGUAAAUCAGUUAUACUUAUACAUAUAUCCAUUCUUUUUAUAUGUAAUAACAUAUAGGUUAUUAAAAACUAUUGAGAUUUCCCUGUGCUAUAUGGUAGGUUCUUAUUAUCUAUUUUAUACAUUAGUGUGUAUAUGUUAAUCCCAUCCUCUCACUUCCUCUCUCCCUUCUAUGGUUUCCCAUAUGGUAACCAAAAGAUUAGUUUUGAAAUCUCAGUUUGUUUCUGUUUUAUAAAUUUUUUUUGUAUUAUUCUAAUAAAAAUAAUACAAAAAAAUUAUUUAUAAAAGAGAAACUGAGAUUUCAAAACCCAUCCUAUUAAUGGUUAACAAUAAUUAAUUUUACUUCAUUCAGUAUGAAAACCUCUUGGUCCCUCCAUGUUGCUGCAAAUGCCAUUAUUUUGUUCUUUUUAUGGCUGAGUAAUAUUCCAUUAUAUCUAUAUACCACACCUUCUUUAUCUAUUCAUCUCUUGAUGGACAUUUAGGUUGUUUCUGUGUCUUAGCUAUUGAAAAUAGUGAUGCAGUGAAUAUUGGGGUGCAUGUAUCUUUUUGAAAUAUGUUUUUUUACCACUACAUGUAUUAUGAAGAUUUUUUAAAUUGCAUUCCUCAAUAAAAGCCAGUGAUUGCACACAAAAUAGUAAUUCAGUGAAAGCAGCUCUGAGGUUAACAUAAUAUGGUUGCUUAUAACUUUCAGUUGAUCUAGUUGACUGGUCAUAUUAGAGCAUGGUGGAGCAGGAGUAAACUCAAAUGGCUUCAGCAGUGAGCAAAUUAACAUAAGAUCAUCAAGUAGCCAGGUGUAGACUAAGAGAGAAUGAUUAGUGAAGAAAACAUUUUAAAACAAUAUUUUGGAAAACAAAAUCCACCCAUAGGUUUAAUCUAGUUUCCAACUAAGUGAAUGACAGCUGGCAAUAAUGGCAUAUCCAUAUAGUAUGCUUAUUUGAAUGCCAUCUGCAUUCAGAAUUACAUAGACAUUUUUAAGCAUUUGCCAGACCUUCAUUUUUCAACUAAUUCUUGCUUGUGUCUCUUACUAUGUUGAAAAUAUUUAGAAGGGUUUUUAUUUAAGUUUGAACAAUUUCUGAAUUAAUUUUUAAAUUUUAUUUAAGUAGCACAUUCUUUUGAACAGUAAUCAUUACUGACUCAAAUUUUCCUCUGGGAGUUCCCUUGUGGUGCAGAGGGUUAAGGAUUAGUUGUCACUGCAGUAGCUCUGGUCACUGCUCUGGCACAGUGUGAUCCCUGGCUCGGGAAAUUCCACAUGCCACCGGCAUGACCAAGAGAAUUUUUUUUCCUCUGACUCUGGCUGCUGGAGAAAUGCUUUUUCUUGGUCUUUCAGUAUGAAAGAGCUAUUUAAAAAAAAUAGCUCAUGCAAUCAGAGGCUACAUUAGUAAAAGAUUAAGAUUCUAAACAAGGGAACUGACAGUUGAAGGGAGACAGCAGUCUCACCUUACACUGUGCUGGUACAGAUCCUUGUGGGUGCCUCAGUUACUACAGGGAGACACUGACAAAGCAUAGAGACACAAAAGGCAAUGCUGCCAUUUCCCAUGCUUUCUAGGUGUCUCCUCUUUUCAAUAGAACUUUUCAAGCUCCUGCACCCCAGCCCUGCCCCUUCUCCCCUUGUCAACUCUUAAAAGAUGACUUGGUCUCAGAAACAUCAUCAAAUAAUUCAGGUUCACUCUCUCUUUUUGAUGUGCCUGUGUCCACACAGCUCUAGCUGGUAGAAGAGCUGUCCUUCUUCCUAUUUAAGACAUUUUUUCCUCCACAGGAUGUCACCUCCUCUGCCCUCUCAGGAAUCCUUUUUUAUUAUCUACUUACAUCCUAUUCUAUAUCUUCAACCCUCUCUUUCUCCAGAUUCUUCCCUGUGGACAUAAAAAGGAAGUCAAGGAUUUCCCAUCGUGGCUCAGCGGUAAGGAACCCGACUAGUGUCCAUGAGGACUCUGGUUCCAUCCCUGGCUUUGCUCAGUGGGUUAAGGAUCUGGCAUUGCCAUGAGCUCUGGUGUAGUCUGCAGACAUGGCUCAGAUCUGGUGUUGCUAUGGCUGUGGUGUAGGCUGUAUUUUGACCUCUAGCCUGGGAACUUCCAUAUGCUGCAGGCGCAGCCCUAAAAAGACUGAAAAAGAAAAAAGAGAAAAGAAUUAUCUUUGGGAGUUCCCUGGUGGCCUAGUGGUUAAGGAGCUGUUGGUGUCACUUCUGUGGCACAGGUUCGAUCCCUGAUAGGGUUUUUCAUAUUCCCUGAGUGCAGCCAAACAAAACAUUAAAAAAAAAAAUUACCUUUGAUACCAUCUCUUCCUUUUCUCCGGCUCAGCUAUAUUUAAUUGGUCACUACGUCCUAAUUCUCACUUGAAAUAGUCUUCUGACCAGCUUAAACAACUGACUUAACCUGAAUGCACCAUGCUGUCCUGUGUCUUUCCCUUGCCUCUUUCCUGGUACCCUUUGCAUUCCCACUAUUCAGUCCUGCAAUGCGGAGCUCAGAUGUCUCCUCCUACAGCAUGUUCCCUAGCCUCUCUAGCCAAGAUUAGGUGUUCCUCUGGUAUAUUCCCAUAGCACUCUGUGUUUACUUCAUUCAUAUCAACACUGCAACUGCUAAUUUGCUUAUUGGGAUCCCUCUUUAAAUGUAGGAAAACAAUAGCUCACAUUUGUCAAAAGCUGUGUACCAGGCUCUGUAAUAAGAGCAUCCAAAGCAUUAUUCAUUUAAUCCUCACAAUAAUCCCAAGGAGUAGGUAUAAAUACUACCCUCAAUUCCUAGGGAUAGAAACUGAACUCAGCUUAAACAACUUGCUCGAUGUUGCAGAAUUAUGUCCUAACCUUCUUGAGGGUAAAGGUCAUGUCCUAUUUGUCUAUGAAGAGAACUUGGCAUAUUAUGGCACUUGCAGUUCCCCAAUAAAUGUUUAUGGGUCAAAUAAAUACAUGAUGAGCUCAGAGGACAAAACUGGGAUCAACUAACAGAAAUUUUAAAAGAGGCAGAUUUGGGAGUUGUCUUGUGGUGCAGUCGGUUAAGGAUUCAGCAUUAUCACUGCAGUGGCUUGUGUUCCUGCUGUGGCAUGGGUUUGAAUCUUGGCCCAGGAACUUCCAAAUGCCGAGGGUGCAGCCAAAAAGAAAAAAGAAAAAGGAUUUUAUAUUAGCUAGGGCUCUCCAAUGGAACUGAUCACUCAGAAAAGUUAACAUGUAGCACUUAGCACACUGAAGAGUAUUUAUACAUUUGCACGUUCCCCCUUGUGACUAGGGGCUUUAUCUUUGCUUUCAUUCCUCAGAAUCUAGCCAAGGCCUCAAGAUGCUCAGUAGGUGCUCACUGAAUGAAAUGAAUUGAAUUGGAAGGCCCUGAAAACUAAAAAGUGAAUAUUUGACCUUAAUAUCAUUCAUUGGAAGUUAAACCCCGCUGUUUUUUUUCAUUUCUUCCCAUUAGUCUGCCUUUUCUUUCCAAAGAGCUUUGAGAAUAAAGAGAGGACAGGGAAAGCGUUUAGAGACUUUGUAAAAUUCUACCAGACUGUAAGCCCUGUGAGGGUAGGGAAAUUAUCUUUUAUCACAUUACCUCCAUAGCCUAGCACAACAUAACUGUUUAUUUGUUGGAUCACACAAACACACACACACACUCUCUCUCUCUCACCCCCCCCUCCCCCAGUGUGUGCUUUAUUCUUAGAAGAGUCCCACAGAACCAUAUGCCACAUAAGUGACUUCUGCAUCAGGUAGGGGACUGGACCAGAUCAGUAAUGUUAUGCUGAAAAACUAGUGUAAUUAUAUACUUUGGAUCCCAAACAUGAGAGAAAUGGAGAAGGCAAGGGAGGAUAAAAGCAUUAAAUUCCAACUGUCAUUCUGAACAUUGAGAUAAGACUCAGAGUAAUAAAAAAAUCUUCCUUAAAGAUCCACAGACAGGUAGUAAAGAAAUAGCGGGCUGCAUGACCUCUAAGGUCCCUGCUAAAUUUAGUAUUAUUUGAUUUUCAUUUAUUGAUCCUAAACAUCAAGUUAAGAGCCUAUACUUCAAGACACUGUUUAGAUCUAGAGUUACUAAACAUUAUUCUGGGCACUGAGGAGUCAGCUGUAAAAAAAGAGAGAAAUUCUUAACUUCAUGGUGUUUACAUUCUAAUGGAAGGUGGGUGUGGGAGGCAAAUGAGAUUUUAGUGUCCCAAAAAAGAUAGCAAGAGGCUAGGAAGUGGCAAAAUUAAUGGGACAGCAUUCCAAUGGUUAUAUCUUCAAGGGCUGGUUAGGUCAUAGGUACUACUCAAAGGGCUGGAGGGCAAUUCUUGGCAGUAAUUCCUUAACACUUUAAACAUCCAUUCCUUCCUCAAUGUCCUGUUAUCUCAAUUCCCAUCUAAAUUGAUACCAACUGCUUGCUACCACUUCCUCAAGGUAUUUCUUCUCCUCAGAUAAAAAACUAACUAUAAUUUUCUCUUAGGUAUACUAUCAAUCAUUUAUUCUUUUUAAAAACGUUCAAAAAAUCUAUGAAGAA